GACGAACGCUGGCGGCGUGCUUAACACAUGCAAGUCGAACGGAAAGGCCCUGCUUUUGUGGGGUGCUCGAGUGGCGAACGGGUGAGUAACACGUGAGUAACCUGCCCUUGACUUUGGGAUAACUUCAGGAAACUGGGGCUAAUACCGGAUAGGAGCUCCUGCUGCAUGGUGGGGGUUGGAAAGUUUCGGCGGUUGGGGAUGGACUCGCGGCUUAUCAGCUUGUUGGUGGGGUAGUGGCUUACCAAGGCGUUGACGGGUAGCCGGCCUGAGAGGGUGACCGGGCACAUUGGGACUGAGAUACGGGCCAGACGCAUACGGGAGGCAGCAGUGGGGAAUAUUGCACAAUGGGCGGAAGCCGGAUGCAGCAACGCCGCGUGCGGGAUGACGGCCUUCGGGUUGUAAACCGCUUUCGCCUGUGACGAAGCGUGAGUGACGGUAAUGGGUAAAGAAGCACCGGCUAACUACGUG
RNAcentral lists this ribosomal RNA (468 nucleotides) under uncultured bacterium. Its description in RNAcentral is "partial 16S ribosomal RNA". It matches the Rfam family "Bacterial small subunit ribosomal RNA", at positions 28 to 507 of the family's 1533-position model. The record is from RNAcentral.